This 208-nucleotide ribosomal RNA is filed under the name Proteus mirabilis. RNAcentral describes it as "partial 23S ribosomal RNA". It matches the Rfam family "Bacterial large subunit ribosomal RNA", at positions 568 to 778 of the family's 2925-position model. Lineage: Bacteria; Pseudomonadati; Pseudomonadota; Gammaproteobacteria; Enterobacterales; Morganellaceae. The record is from RNAcentral.
AAGCAGUAGGAGCCUCUUUAUGGGGUGACUGCGUACCUUUUGUAUAAUGGGUCAGCGACUUAUAUUCUGUAGCAAGGUUAACCGUAUAGGGGAGCCGUAGGGAAACCGAGUCUUAACUGGGCGAAUGAGUUGCAGGGUAUAGACCCGAAACCCGGUGAUCUAUCCAUGGGCAGGUUGAAGGUUGGGUAACACUAACUGGAGGACCGAA